This 440-nucleotide ribosomal RNA is filed under the name uncultured bacterium. Its description in RNAcentral is "partial 16S ribosomal RNA". It matches the Rfam family "Bacterial small subunit ribosomal RNA", at positions 338 to 795 of the family's 1533-position model. The record is from RNAcentral.
CCUACGGGAGGCAGCAGUGGGGAAUAUUGCACAAUGGGGGAAACCCUGAUGCAGCGACGCCGCGUGAAGGAUGAAGUAUUUCGGUAUGUAAACUUCUAUCAGCAGGGAAGAAAAUGACGGUACCUGACUAAGAAGCCCCGGCUAACUACGUGCCAGCAGCCGCGGUAAUACGUCGGGGGCAAGCGUGAUCCGGAUUUACUGGGUGUAAAGGGAGCGUAGACGGUAUGGCAAGUCUGAUGUGAAAACCCGGGGCCCAACCCCGGGACUGCAUUGGAAACUGUCGGACUAGAGUGUCGGAGAGGCAAGUGGAAUGCCUGGUGUAGCGGUGAAAUGCGUAGAUAUUGGGAGGAACACCAGUGGCGAAGGCAGCUUGCUGGACGAUGACUGACGUUGAGGCUCGAAAGCGUGGGGAGCGAACAGGAUUAGAUACCCGGGUAGUC